AUGAAGACAGCUGUUCAUGCUUUAUUCAUUUUCUUCUGGCUGCAGAUGGACUGGGAGAGCAGAGGCAAGCAGGUGGAGCAGCAUCCUUCCACCCUGAGUGUCCAGGAGGGAGACAGCACUGUCAUCAACUGUACUUACAAAGACAGUGCCUCAGUCUACUUCUCUUGGUAUAAGCAAGAGCCUGGGAAGCAUCUUCACUUCAUCAUUGACAUCCGGUCAAAUGUGGAAAGAAAGCAGAACCAAAGACUCACCCUUCUGUUGGAUAAGAAACACAAACACCUUACCCUGUACAUCACAGCCACUCAGUCUGCAGAUUCAGCCAUCUACUUCUGUACAGCAGAUACACACUGCUCCCCAGGCACCUGCAGCCUGUCUUAA
Molecule: non-coding RNA, 378 nt
Organism: Peromyscus eremicus (cactus mouse)
Lineage: Eukaryota; Metazoa; Chordata; Mammalia; Rodentia; Cricetidae
Source: the annotation of a RefSeq genome assembly